This is a long non-coding RNA of Pezoporus flaviventris, 309 nucleotides long. RefSeq lists it as uncharacterized. Lineage: Eukaryota; Metazoa; Chordata; Aves; Psittaciformes; Psittacidae. The record is from RefSeq and is a predicted model, not a curated record. The transcript has 2 exons.
AAUUAGUCUUUUACAUCUUUAAAUGCACACUAAUACACUGCAACACUCUUGUCUCCUUAUGACACCUAACCAUUUCCUCCUCUGGACUGGCUUUUCUUUCCUUGCUGCUGUUAAAAAGAGAAUACAAGCUACAAGAAAAUGAUAAACAGGAAGCCUUAAAAGGCCAGACCAUUUACAAAACAACACGUAGGCACACAUAUCCAUAAUGCAUGAAGAGCUUGGCCUGCUCUCCAGAUGUACACAGAUCUGUAAAAUUUCCUAGAGCUUUUCUGUUGACAAUACAAUAUAGAAAACACUAUUAUUUGGCUA